UACGAAGGGGGCUAGCGUUGCUCGGAAUCACUGGGCGUAAAGCGCACGUAGGCGGACGCUUAAGUCGGUGGUGAAAUCCUGGAGCUCAACUCCAGAACUGCCUUCGAUACUGGGAGUCUCGAGUCCGGGAGAGGUGAGUGGAACUGCGAGUGUAGAGGUGAAAUUCGUAGAUAUUCGCAAGAACACCAGUGGCGAAGGCGGCUCACUGGCCCGGUACUGACGCUGAGGUGCGAAAGCGUGGGGAGCAAACAGG
This 253-nucleotide ribosomal RNA is filed under the name uncultured bacterium. RNAcentral describes it as "partial 16S ribosomal RNA". It matches the Rfam family "Bacterial small subunit ribosomal RNA", at positions 524 to 776 of the family's 1533-position model. The record is from RNAcentral.